Molecule: long non-coding RNA, 1876 nt
Organism: Carassius auratus (goldfish)
Lineage: Eukaryota; Metazoa; Chordata; Actinopteri; Cypriniformes; Cyprinidae
Exons: 10
Source: RefSeq, a predicted model, not a curated record
AUCCUUGUGUCUCUUAAUAUUUAAGAGUACAGUGUUAAAUGACUGACAGCUAAAUCCAGUGAUGCAAAUGUUGUAUGCUGAAAAUAUAGAAUAAACCUAAUCCCUACCCCAAAACCUAACAGUACACUGUUAAAAAUUACCAGCAUUUCACAAUAAUUAACAGUAUUAUUUUACAGUAACUUGUUGUAAUUAAGUUUCCCUGUAAUAUCCCAAUGAAUACCUGUAAAAAACUAAAGUAUCCUUGGAUUUUACAGCAUUUAACUCUUAUUUUACAGUAAAAUCUUGCUAUCUAAAACCUACUGUUAUAUCACAACAAGGUCUGUAAUAUCACAGCAACACAGUGUAAAAAAUAAGUAUUUCACAGCAGUAAACAGUAUUAUUACAGUGAAAUAUUGUAUUGAAAUGUGCCCUGGGAAGUCACAUGACAUAACCGAUCUGUUUUGAAUUGAAAGCGCUGUCGUCGUGUCCCUCUUCUAUUCCGGGCUGAAUGGAGAAGCAGGUAUCCUAGUUACAACAUGACUGAGCUAAGUUAAUUGGAGAGCCAUCCAAAAUCAUUUGGCGACACUGGCAAGCAUGGUGAUACUGCUGGAGACGGAUGUCACUCUCUUCUGCAACAUGUAAAAAUGAGAGUGGAGUAAAAAAAUAGGAAUAAAGCCCUUGCUCAACGCUGCAGAGAAAGAAGACCGCGCACUGGAAUGGCAGGAGAGGCCAGACUGGCAAGAGGUCCUGUUGACCAAUACGGGUGUGUCAGGUGGGGCCCAGUAGAUUUGCCAGGGGGGAGACCGAGGCAACAUCGGAGAAUAUAAAGAGGGAUCUGCUGAACAUCUACUCAGGCAUGCCAUCUACUCUCUUUUUGGGUAAUUUUGUUUAGAAUUUAGUAAUUUGUCAAGAUCUGAACACUGUGUGUGUUGGGCGGCUACAAGACCAAAUUGUUACUUGGGUACUAACAAUACAUUUGUAUGUCUGUGUACACAGGGGAAGGAAUGAGUGGGGCAGAGAGAGCAGAACCAAUGAUGGAAAAGACAUGCAUCAUCCUGCGGAAAUACCUUAACAAAGUGCCUUCUGCAGCGAUGUCUGAGAUCAAACAGGAAUGGCCAUUUCUCUUCUCUCAGAAAUGCCUAUUCUCACACUUAGACCUCCUGAUGGACGUUGAUGUCCUUCAGAAGCUACAGGAGGCAAUUAUUCGAAGAGGACAGACCAUCCUGGAUUACUGUGCAACACUGGACAACCCAAAGAUCCGUGAUGUUCUGGCCUGCUAUGAUCCAGACUCUGACAAGGCUGCCUGCAUCCUGCUGCUCCUAAUGUUGUACUUCAGAGAGUUUGAUGCUUGAAGUUCAUCCAUGUGCCACUGCUGUGGACGUCAAUACUGCAGAACUCCCCGGAACCCCCUGCUUGAUCAUUCAAGGUGACAUGAUGAAGCCCACUGGAUGGCUUAUAUCCAUCAAGGGACAUGUCGUGAUGGGCCCACACUCUUUAUUUUUACACGGAGUAGCACUUUCUUCAGCAGCUAUUACGUAUUCAACCUUGAGUAUCCUACCGCUGGAUCUUCGACACUGGAGUUCAUUCAAAGGUGCUUCCUGGGCAUCAAUCCUGAAAGAGGCUCAAAGACCAAGAAGCGGACAACUAUGAACCCUCAUCUCGAGCUCGAGGCAGUGGGGAAGCAGAUCGCGACCUGGUGGUAAGGCAGGCCCAGCUGAGAGAGCGGAGAGCUGCACUGGAAUCAUCCCGGGCUGACGGCCACAAGUCCAGGGCCCGGUGCACCCAGGACGCGAUCUUCCCAGAUGUCCUUCACUGCGAUGCCGGGACACCACAGACCCUGGGUGCAGGCACGUGCACAGUUUCAGCACAUGCCCCUCAAAAGGUCUGUGCACGGCCC